This is a small nuclear RNA of Pipistrellus kuhlii (Kuhl's pipistrelle), 109 nucleotides long. The record is from RefSeq and is a predicted model, not a curated record. NCBI's taxonomy places the organism in Eukaryota, Metazoa, Chordata, Mammalia, Chiroptera, Vespertilionidae.
GUGCUCGCUUCCCUUCGGCAGCACCGAAACUAAAGAUUAAAGAUACAGAGAAGGUUAGCAUGGCCCCUGCACAAGGAUGACGCAAAUUCAUGAAGCAUUUCGUAUUUUU